CAGGCUUAACACAUGCAAGUCGAGGGGCAGCAUGGUCUUAGCUUGCUAAGGCCGAUGGCGACCGGCGCACGGGUGAGUAACACGUAUCCAACCUGCCGUCUACUCUUGGACAGCCUUCUGAAAGGAAGAUUAAUACGAGAUGGCAUCAUGAGUCCACAUGUUCACAUGAUUAAAGGUAUUCCGGUAGACGAUGGGGAUGCGUUCCAUUAGAUAGUAGGCGGGGUAACGGCCCACCUAGUCUUCGAUGGAUAGGGGUUCUGAGAGGAAGGUCCCCCACAUUGGAACUGAGACACGGUCCAAACUCCUACGGGAGGCAGCAGUGAGGAAUAUUGGUCAAUGGGCGAGAGCCUGAACCAGCCAAGUAGCGUGAAGGAUGACUGCCCUAUGGGUUGUAAACUUCUUUUAUAAAGGAAUAAAGUCGGGUAUGCAUACCCGUUUGCAUGUACUUUAUGAAUAAGGAUCGGCUAACUCCGUGCCAGCAGCCGCGGUAAUACGGAGGAUCCGAGCGUUAUCCGGAUUUAUUGGGUUUAAAGGGAGCGUAGAUGGAUGUUUAAGUCAGUUGUGAAAGUUUGCGGCUCAACCGUAAAAUUGCAGUUGAUACUGGAUAUCUUGAGUGCAGUUGAGGCAGGCGGAAUUCGUGGUGUAGCGGUGAAAUGCUUAGAUAUCACGAAGAACUCCGAUUGCGAAGGCAGCCUGCUAAGCUGCAACUGACAUUGAGGCUCGAAAGUGUGGGUAUCAAACAGGAUUAGAUACCCUGGUAGUCCACACGGUAAACGAUGAAUACUCGCUGUUUGCGAUAUACUGCAAGCGGCCAAGCGAAAGCGUUAAGUAUUCCACCUGGGGAGUACGCCGGCAACGGUGAAACUCAAAGGAAUUGACGGGGGCCCGCACAAGCGGAGGAACAUGUGGUUUAAUUCGAUGAUACGCGAGGAACCUUACCCGGGCUUAAAUUGCAGAUGAAUUACGGUGAAAGCCGUAAGCCGCAAGGCAUCUGUGAAGGUGCUGCAUGGUUGUCGUCAGCUCGUGCCGUGAGGUGUCGGCUUAAGUGCCAUAACGAGCGCAACCCUUGUUGUCAGUUACUAACAGGUUCUGCUGAGGACUCUGACAAGACUGCCAUCGUAAGAUGUGAGGAAGGUGGGGAUGACGUCAAAUCAGCACGGCCCUUACGUCCGGGGCUACACACGUGUUACAAUGGGGGGUACAGAGGGCCGCUACCACGCGAGUGGAUGCCAAUCCCAAAAACCUCUCUCAGUUCGGACUGGAGUCUGCAACCCGACUCCACGAAGCUGGAUUCGCUAGUAAUCGCGCAUCAGCCACGGCGCGGUGGAUACGUUCCCGGGCCUUGUACACACCGCCCGUCAAGCCAUGGGAGCCGGGGGUACCUGAAGUGCGUAACCGCGAGGAGCGCCCUAGGGUAAAACUGGUGACUGGG
RNAcentral lists this ribosomal RNA (1432 nucleotides) under uncultured organism. Its description in RNAcentral is "16S ribosomal RNA". It matches the Rfam family "Bacterial small subunit ribosomal RNA". The record is from RNAcentral.